Brachypodium distachyon (stiff brome) is the source of this 1237-nucleotide long non-coding RNA. RefSeq lists it as uncharacterized. Lineage: Eukaryota; Viridiplantae; Streptophyta; Magnoliopsida; Poales; Poaceae. The record is from RefSeq and is a predicted model, not a curated record. The transcript is spliced from 2 exons.
UGGACUGUGGAGAUGAACAUGUAGGGCAGGAGAGGGACCAAUCCACCGAUGACAUAAGAUAGCGCUAUUGUGAAAGCACUCUGCAAAGCUCUUCUAGGGUCCGGCUUCUCCAAUCCGAGUUCAAACCUGAACACGAUGCUCCGCUAUGUGGCGAUAUCCACAUUUUUAAUCAAGUACAAUCAGAAACGGAGCAAUACAUAGUGUCAGCAGCUGCUAUUCAUACCUCAUCAUGAACUCGAGCCAAGCUUGUGGGUUCCUUCUGAGGCCCUCCACGACAGGUCCAUACUCAUGCGGUUCAAGCCCAUACUCUGCCAUGAUAUCUCCAAUCUCAGCAGCCUCUGGAUGAUCAGUAAAGAAGUCAAAACACCAAAAGUAAGGCUGCAAGUCAUACAAGGAGGAAUCUGGGAACAUGUUUUCUUGCUAUAUCCAUGUACCGGUUUCUGGGACGGCAAUGAUCUCCUCCUGCUCCCUCUUCAUCUCCCGCUUGUAAUGAUCUGCCUCGCUUUUGGCCGCCAGGUACCUAACACAUGGCACAGUGGCGAAUCAGAAAUUCACAAUAAUACAUUAGUGGGCACUUUUUGAAUUGAAAACAAUGUGAUCCUGUCUUGUUCCACAGUUUAAAGCGAGAUUCUCCACUAUGACUUGUGGGCACUUUUUGAAUUGAAAAGCUGUGAUACAUAUAAAGUAUGCUACAAUAGCACGUUGAAGAGGACCACAAGCCCACAUACUUGUCUAUCACAGGCUAACCUUUCGCCAGUAACGUUUUGGGUUUAGAUAAGUGUAAGUUACAAGUUGAUGUUGAAGCUAAAGCAAAGUACUGUCAGCCAGACAGGAAUGCAGUGUGCGACCUACAGAACAAUUAACACUGGGGUGUUCAUGAGGUAACAAAACAAGAUUCAGCAAAUACACCCGUGACCCUGUGAAUAUAUGCAGGUCAGGUACGAAAGAAUAUUUAAGAUGCUCCCUAUUAGAGGAGUAUUUAAUCCUAGCUGUCAAGUGAUCAAAGGUAAAUUUGGCUAUAUAAGCAUGGUGAGUACAACAAGUAUUUGACAGAUUUAGUGUUCACUCCUUCCAGUAUAGAGAUUCCCAUACAUAUUAUGCAUGUUGGUACAAUUUAAAACAUUGUAUACGCACUCUUAUUUUCAUUUUUACCUCGUACAUUGAAAUAUGCUCAUUUUUGUUAUUACCAAGUGAAAUUUGUAAAACAAUAUAUUUAUGUAUUGUUAUCACAGAAGCA